GCCCCUCUGGCCCAACAAAAGGUAGAGGCUCUGCUUUCAAACGGCAGGAGUUCCCGGUUCGACCCCGGGGAGGGGCACCA
This 80-nucleotide transfer RNA is filed under the name Pectobacterium atrosepticum. Its description in RNAcentral is "tRNA-Leu". Lineage: Bacteria; Pseudomonadati; Pseudomonadota; Gammaproteobacteria; Enterobacterales; Pectobacteriaceae. The record is from RNAcentral.